UACGAAGGGGGCUAGCGUUGCUCGGAAUCACUGGGCGUAAAGCGCACGUAGGCGGCUUUUUAAGUCAGGGGUGAAAUCCUGGAGCUCAACUCCAGAACUGCCUUUGAUACUGAGAAGCUUGAGUCCGGGAGAGGUGAGUGGAACUGCGAGUGUAGAGGUGAAAUUCGUAGAUAUUCGCAAGAACACCAGUGGCGAAGGCGGCCGGCUGGGGGCGCCCUGACGCUGAGGCGCGAGAGCGUGGGGAGCAAACCGG
This 253-nucleotide ribosomal RNA is filed under the name uncultured bacterium. RNAcentral's name for it is "partial 16S ribosomal RNA". It matches the Rfam family "Bacterial small subunit ribosomal RNA", at positions 524 to 776 of the family's 1533-position model. The record is from RNAcentral.